RNAcentral lists this ribosomal RNA (400 nucleotides) under uncultured bacterium. Its description in RNAcentral is "partial 16S ribosomal RNA". It matches the Rfam family "Bacterial small subunit ribosomal RNA", at positions 361 to 774 of the family's 1533-position model. The record is from RNAcentral.
AUAUUGGGCAAUGGAGGCAACUCUGACCCAGCAAUGCCGCGUGAGUGAAGAAGGUCUUCGGAUUGUAAAGCCCUUUGAUUAGGGAUGAAGGAAAUGACAUUACCUAAAGAACAAGCCCCGGCUAACUACGUGCCAGCAGCCGCGGUAAUACGUAGGGGGCGAGCGUUGUCCGGAAUUACUGGGCGUAAAGGGUGUGUAGGCGGUCUGUUAAGUUAGAAGUGAAAUCCCCAGGGCUCAACCCGGGUGCUGCUUCUAAAACUGGCAGACUUGAGUGCAGGAGAGAGUAGUGGAAUUCCUAGUGUAGCGGUGGAAUGCGUAGAGAUUAGGAGGAACACCAGUGGCGAAGGCGACUACUUGGACUGUAACUGACGCUGAGGCACGAAAGCGUGGGUAGCAAACA